Molecule: ribosomal RNA, 468 nt
Filed under: uncultured bacterium
Lineage: Bacteria
Description: partial 16S ribosomal RNA
Rfam family: Bacterial small subunit ribosomal RNA
Source: RNAcentral
GACGAACGCUGGCGGCGUGCUUAACACAUGCAAGUCGAACGGAAAGGCCCUGCUUUUGUGGGGUGCUCGAGUGGCGAACGGGUGAGUAACACGUGAGUAACCUGCCCUUGACUUUGGGAUAACUUCAGGAAACUGGGGCUAAUACCGGAUAGGAGCUCCUGCGGCAUGGUGGGGGUUGGAAAGUUUCGGCGGUAGGGGAUGGACUCGCGGCUUAUCAGCUUGUUGGUGGGGUAGUGGCUUACCAAGGCUUUGACGGGUAGCCGGCCUGGGAGGGUGGCCAGCCACAUUGCGACUGAGAUACGGCGCAGACUGCUACGGGAGGCAGCAGUGGGGAAUAUUGCACAAUGGGCGGAAGCCUGAUACAACAACGCCGCGUGCGGGAUGACGGCCUGCGGGUUGUAAACCGCUUUCGCCUGUUACGGAGCGUGAGUGACGGUAAUGGGUAAAGAAGCACCGGCUAACUACGUG